RNAcentral lists this ribosomal RNA (425 nucleotides) under uncultured bacterium. Its description in RNAcentral is "partial 16S ribosomal RNA". It matches the Rfam family "Bacterial small subunit ribosomal RNA", at positions 354 to 796 of the family's 1533-position model. The record is from RNAcentral.
GUGAGGAAUAUUGGACAAUGGAGGAAACUCUGAUCCAGCCAUGCCGCGUGAGUGAUGAAGGCCUUCGGGUUGUAGAGCUCUUUCGGGUGUGAAAAUGAUGAUGGUCACACCAGAAGAAGCCCCGGCUAACUCCGUGCCAGCAGCCGCGGUAAUACGGAGGGGGCGAGCGUUGUUCGGAAUCACUGGGCGUAAAGCGUGCGUAGGCGGUUAUACAAGUCAGGAGUGAAAUCCCAGGGCUCAACCUUGGAAUUGCUUUUGAGACUGUAUGACUAGAGAUCUAGAGAGGUUGGGGGGAUUCCGAGUGUAGAGGUGAAAUUCGCAGAUAUUCGGAGGAACACCAGUGGCGUAGGCGCCCAACUGGCUAGAUACUGACGCUGAGGCACGAAAGCGUGGGGAGCAAACAGGAUUAGAUACCCUAGUAGUCC